UAAAGACCUUUAGAUGCCAAGUUGUAAUCCAAGAGAGAGAUGGGAGUUUCCCCUCCUCCUUCAUAAUCUGAAAGUGUUCUCGGUUAUGAAACUUUAAUCUUGGUUACUUAAUCUCUCAAUAUCUUUUACUCUCAGUCUCUCUAAUCUCUUCAUAAUCUCCUGUUUCUCAAUCACUUGCACUUUCUUCCAUCAGACUCUCUCCUUCAUCAGUUCAAGACUUCUCACCCCCUAAAGGGCUUGUUCUUUACUCACAUCACCUGAGACUCUGAAAAUCUUAUAUGGUAUCAGAGUUUCCAAACUCCUGAAAAUCACAAAGCUUCCGCAAAUCAAGCACAAGCUCACCCUCAUUUUUGUUCAAACCAUUGGAGAAGUUUCUGUCUUGUUGGUUGUUCAAUCUCUUCAAGAGGAAGAAGACUGCAACCAAGGCGUGUCCAGAGAUUUCCCAAGGUCUAUCAUCCUUUCCUGUUCAGCAUGAAGAGAUCUCUUGGAGAAAGAAGGUUUUGGAGCUGUUUGGCAAACAAAACUCCAAACCAAAUCUGUACAAGCAAUUUUCAUACAGAUUUUGUAAUCUAUUAUCUAUUUAAAGGCCUUUAGAUGGCAAGUUGUAAUCCAAGAGAGAGAUGGGGGUUUCCCCUCCUCCUUCAUAAUCUGAAAGUGUUAUUGGUUAUGAAAUUCUAAUCUUGGUUACUUAAUCUCUCAAUCUCUUUUACUCUCAGUCUCUCUAAUCUCUUUAAUCUCCUCAUAAUCUCCUGUUUCUCAAUCACUUGCACUUUCUUCCAUCAGACUCUCUCCUUCACCAGUUCAAGACUCUUCACCCCCUAAAGGGCUUGUUAUUCACUCACAAAACCUGAGACUCUGAAAAUCAGAUGAUCGACUCAACAUUUGUUUGUUGGGUUUCACUUGAUGAUUUUGCUGUGU
Molecule: long non-coding RNA, 918 nt
Filed under: Brassica napus (rape)
Lineage: Eukaryota; Viridiplantae; Streptophyta; Magnoliopsida; Brassicales; Brassicaceae
Description: long non-coding RNA (BNAP_LNC013537)
Source: RNAcentral